This 496-nucleotide ribosomal RNA is filed under the name uncultured bacterium. RNAcentral's name for it is "partial 16S ribosomal RNA". It matches the Rfam family "Bacterial small subunit ribosomal RNA", at positions 28 to 507 of the family's 1533-position model. The record is from RNAcentral.
GAUGAACGCUGGCGGCGUGCCUAAUACAUGCAAGUCGAGCGAACGGACGAGAAGCUUGCUUUUCUGAUGUUAGCGGCGGACGGGUGAGUACACGUGGAUAACCUACCUAUAAGACUGGGAUAACUUCGGGAAACCGGAGCUAAUACCGGAUAAUAUUUUGAACCGCAUGGUUCAAAAGUGAAAGACGGUCUUGCUGUCACUUAUAGAUGGAUCCGCGCUGCAUUAGCUAGUUGGUAAGGUAACGGCUUACCAAGGCAACGAUGCAUAGCCGACCUGAGAGGGUGAUCGGCCACACUGGAACUGAGACACGGUCCAGACUCCUACGGGAGGCAGCAGUAGGGAAUCUUCCGCAAUGGGCGAAAGCCUGACGGAGCAACGCCGCGUGAGUGAUGAAGGUCCUCGGAUCGUAAAACUCUGUUAUUAGGGAAGAACAUAUGUGUAAGUAACUGUGCACAUCUUGACGGUACCUAAUCAGAAAGCCACGGCUAACUACGUG